RNAcentral lists this ribosomal RNA (467 nucleotides) under uncultured bacterium. RNAcentral describes it as "partial 16S ribosomal RNA". It matches the Rfam family "Bacterial small subunit ribosomal RNA", at positions 28 to 507 of the family's 1533-position model. The record is from RNAcentral.
GACGAACGCUGGCGGCGUGCUUAACACAUGCAAGUCGAACGGAAAGGCCCUGCUUGCAGGGUGCUCGAGUGGCGAACGGGUGAGUAACACGUGGGUGAUCUGCCCCUUACUUUGGGAUAAGCCUGGGAAACUGGGUCUAAUACUGGAUAGGACCAUGCUGUAGGUGGUGUGGUGGAAAGAUUAGUUUCGGUAAGGGAUGAGCUCGCGGCCUAUCAGCUUGUUGGUGGGGUAAUGGCCUACCAAGGCGUCGACGGGUAGCCGGCCUGAGGGUGGACGGCCACAUUGGGACUGAGAUACGGCCCAGACUCCUACGGGAGGCAGCAGUGGGGAAUAUUGCACAAUGGGCGCAAGCCUGAUGCAGCGACGCCGCGUGGGGGAUGACGGCCUUCGGGUUGUAAACUCCUUUCAGCCAUGACGAAGCCCUUGUGGUGACGGUAGUGGUAGAAGAAGCACCGGCUAACUACGUG